GGGGUAAAAUUAAUAAUGGAGGGGUUAAUAAAAAUAAUUUUAAUAUUAAAAUAAUUUAAUGGGGGUUAAAGUAUUUUAAUAGAAAAAAUUUAAAUUUUUAUAGUUAAAUAGUAUUGUGAAAGAAUUUUGAAAUAUUUUGAAAUUAAAUUUAUAAAAAAGUAAAUUUAAUUUAUUGUAUCUUGGGUAUCAGAGUUUAUUAAAAAUUUUUUAUUGAUUUUUAAAUUUCUCGAAUUUAAAAGAGAUAAUUAAUUAAAAAAGUUAUUGUUGAAUAAAUAUUUUAAAUAAUUGAUUUGAAAUGAAAUGUUAAUCGUUUUUAAAUAUAUCUAGUUUUUUUAGAAUAAAAUUUAAUUUUAAAUUUUAAUAUAAAAUUUUUAUUAAUUAAUUUAAUGAAUUUUUAUUAAGAUUAUAUAUUUUAAGGGAUAAGCUUUAAAUUAAAUUUUUAUAAUAAUUUAAAUUUUAGUAUAAAAUUUUUAUAAUUUAUAUUGUUAAUAAAUUAUAUUUUUUUAUAAAUAAUUUUAUAUAAAUAUUAAAAUUUAAUUUUAAAUUUAAAUUUUUAUAAAAAAAAAAUUUUUAAUAUGUAAAAUUUAGUUAUUAUGAUAAAAUUAGUAUAUAAAUAUAAGUAUAAAUUUAUAAAUUAAAAUUAUUUAAUUUUAAUUAAAAUUGAUUUAAAGGAAUUCGGCAAAUUUUUAUAUUCACUUGUUUAUCAAAAACAUGUCUUUUUGGUUAUAAUUUAAAGUCUAAUCUGCCCACUGAUAUAAUUAAAGGGCUGCAGUAUUUUGACUGUACAAAGGUAGCAUAAUCAUUAGUCUCUUAAUUGGUGACUUGUAUGAAAGAUUGGAUGAAAUAUAAACUGUCUUUAAGUUAUAUUAUUGAAUUUAAUUUUUUAAUUAAAAAGUUAAAAUAAAUUAAAAAGACGAGAAGACCCUAUAGAGUUUUAUAAUUUAUUUAAAUUAAAAUUAUUUUUAAUUUUUUAAUUAAAAUUUAUUAUAAAUUAUUUUAUUGGGGUGAUAAAAAAAUUAAAUAAACUUUUUUUAUAAAAUUCCAUUGAUAAGUGAUUAAAUGAUCCAAUUUUAUUGAUUAUAAGAUUAAAUUACCUUAGGGAUAACAGCGUAAUUUUUUUUUUUAGUUCAAAUAAAAAAAAGAGUUUGCGACCUCGAUGUUGGAUUAAGAUAAAAUUUAUAUGCAAAAGUAUAAAAUUUUUGAUCUGUUCGAUCAUUAAAAUCUUACAUGAUCUGAGUUCAAACCGGUGUGAGCCAGGUUGGUUUCUAUCUUUUAAUAAAAAAAAUAUUUUAGUACGAAAGGAUCAAAUAUUUUAAUUAAAUUAUAAUUAAAUGAAUUUUAUUAAAUUUUAUAUAAAUUUUUAUUUUUUACAAUAAA
Molecule: ribosomal RNA, 1377 nt
Filed under: Oberthueria yandu
Lineage: Eukaryota; Metazoa; Arthropoda; Insecta; Lepidoptera; Endromidae
Description: 16S ribosomal RNA
Source: RNAcentral